This 277-nucleotide long non-coding RNA is filed under the name Homo sapiens (human). RNAcentral describes it as "HSALNT0372713". Lineage: Eukaryota; Metazoa; Chordata; Mammalia; Primates; Hominidae. The record is from RNAcentral.
UCUUUUAAUUAAGUGUGAAGUUAGAAUUAUCGUCUUCAACUGACAGGAAGUUAGAAUUAUCGUCUUCAACUGACAGGAAGUUAGAAUUAUCGUCUUCAACUGACAGGAUAAUCAUUAAGAGUAAUCUUUAGUUCACCAUUUACUGCUGGAAGUGUUGAGAAAAACUGGGACUUCUUUUUCAUUCUUCUGACUGUUGGCUGAACAAAGAGUAAUCAAGAAUUAUGUGAACACCAUGAAUAUAACAAAACUAUCACUGCUGUGCAAAUACAUUCCAGGU